GGCAUGUUCGAGGCCAUGUGAAAACUGGGCUUGAAUUUCAAAUUGCACACGGGCUGAGGGAGUGUCACACGAUUGUGUGACACGACCGUGGACCAAGACAGGCCUAUACACGACAAUGUCCCGUUUGAAACCCUAAGCCCCAUUUUGUUUUAUCUUUUUCCUAUCCCAAAUUCCUUACACAACUGUCGUUCUCAUCUUCUCUCACCAGUCAAGUAGCCCCUCCCCGACCACCACCGUCACCGUCUCUCAUUCCCCUCCCUUUCCCUUUUUCCCUUUCUUCCUCCCCCCUUCUCCCUCAUCAAGAGAACAUCCUUUCCCCUUCGAACUCAAGCUACCAGCUAUCACCCCUUCAUCCUUCCUCGCUCUCCCUUUCUUAUUUUUUCGACCAAUCCCCUACAUCCAACCGUUCGUCAGCCCCUCACAUCCUGCACCCACACACACCAGCCUCACCGCCAUCCCUAAUAAUUAUGCAAACAUCCCCUCGCCCCUAACAACCCUACGUCCCCCCUCUCCUAUUGUAGCCACACCUUGUGCAACACCCCACCGUCGUUGGACCCUCAACAUCGGACCCACCGCUUUCCCGUCGCCCACCAACACCGUUUGCUCUGCCCUACCGUCGGUUCUUCCACCAUUUGCCCUUCCUUCUCCUUUUUAGAUUUUUAUUUUUUUAUUUUUUAUUUUUUAUUCUUAUUUAUUUCUAUUGUCUUUUCUUAUCAUUCGUCUUAUUAUUCCUAUUGUUACCAGUCUUACUUUUAUUAUUUUGAUUAUUCUUC
Molecule: long non-coding RNA, 773 nt
Filed under: Gossypium raimondii (Peruvian cotton)
Lineage: Eukaryota; Viridiplantae; Streptophyta; Magnoliopsida; Malvales; Malvaceae
Description: long non-coding RNA (GRAI_LNC001585)
Source: RNAcentral